This 9916-nucleotide long non-coding RNA is filed under the name Marmota monax (woodchuck). Lineage: Eukaryota; Metazoa; Chordata; Mammalia; Rodentia; Sciuridae. The record is from RNAcentral.
AUCACAUUAAGUGAUUUCCUUAAGGUCCCACAACCACUUUUGGAUAAAGUCAGGAAUGACAGAAAUUCUUAUUGCCAAAUUGGCUUUUCCCCCCCAGUGCCAAGGGUUGAAUGUAUUUUUUAAAAAAUCCAACGUAGGAUCUGGGUAUAUUGAAGAGCACAUCAUGACCUUCUGAAAUGCAAGAGCUGCGUAAAGUGACGGAGCGGGUAUUCCUCAAGAUUGCUGUGAAGCUUGAAGAGAAAUCUGCAAGCUGCGAUCUGCUCAUUGAGGUUGGUCCUAGGGGUGCUCUAGUUUUGAGGGCAUCAAGGGCUUGUUAUCCAAUCAAUGACUUACCCCCCCCCCCCAUGCUUGGACAGAUGCACGAAGAGGGGAUUGAGGUCUUAUUUUGGGAGAGAGUUGUAGAGCAGAUACUCAGAACUGUCUUUUCCUCCAGUCUCAUCAUGGGAGGUGUCUGUCCCCGUGGUCAUUCCCUUUUCAGAAGUCCUCUUUAUGUCCCAAACCACCUCUCUUAGGAAUGCCGUGGGACUCCUAAAUGACACGUCAUCUGCCAAUGGGUUCCUAUUCUUUUUUGAGCCACAUCCCCAGCCCUUUUAAUUUUUUAUUUUGAGUCAGAGUCUUGCUAAGUUGCUCAGAGUCUUGCUAAAUUGCUAAGGCUGGCUUUGAAUUGAGAUCCUCCUGCCUCAGCCUCUUUAGCUGCUGGAAUUAUAUGUGUGUGCCACCGUGCCUGGCUUGGGUGCCUGUAGCCCUCUAAAUGUUGACUACAUAAAGCAAACCAGCUCUUCAAACCCCCGAGUCUACCACAGGAAAAUGCCAGAAGCCUGUGUUGGUGGUGGCUCGCUGACUCUUAUGAACCUGUGGUUUCCUUUUUGAACUUGCAUUUCUACAUUUUCUUAUAAUGUUUCUCCUCCUGUCCUUCCAAUUAUUUUACUUUCAAAGAACAUCAGAUUCAUUUCUUUUCCAAAAUAAUGGGAGGAACUUGCCAGGUAAGCAAUAAAAAAUAUUUUCUGGGAAUGAAUAAUUCUGAUUGUUUCUAGGAGGACCAGGGGAAUAAAAUAAAAUGAUAAAAGAGCAACUGGGAAGCUAGUGUAAAAUUUUAUGUAAAUCUGAAAGGAACCUUUAUCUUUCAAAAUUGUAAGUUAAGAAUAAACUGGUUUUUGGCAUUGAAGAGCUUAAUAGUUCAGGUUACAUUUAAAUAAAUGCCUUGGGCAAUUUAUUGCUUUCAGUUUUAUAUUGAUGGGUGUUAUGUAAGCAUAAAAUGGAAGGCUAUAGAAGCAGAAUAGAAUGUGCUUCUUUUUCCAAAUAUCAUUCCGUGUCUCCUGAGAUAACAGGGAAAAUCAGGGUUAAUGUACAAGCUACUCUUGUUCUGGAAGUGUCUUUUAGAGAAUUGCCAUAUGGGUAACACUUCAAACGUUCUUCCUUAAGUAUUUUAAGAAAUAGAACUUAGUAAUGUUAUUUUGCUGGUGAGAUUUUUUUUUUAAAGCACAGAAACAAAAUACUUAAAGGGGAAAUGUAGCAGAGGGUGACAGAGCUAUUUUAAUUUUUUCCUUUUUAGUACUGAGGAUAGAACCCAGGGCUUCACAUAUCCUAGGUAAGUCCUCCAGCACUAAACUGCAUCCCUAGCCAUUUUUUUUUUUUUAAGUUUUGAGACAGUCUAAAUUCCCUGAGCGGGCCUUGAACUUCCCAUCCUCCUGCUUCAGCCUCCUGAGUAACACAGAAAUAAGUUUUGAGAAUUUGUAAAUUAUCAGUAGAUUGAAGUUGGCAAUAAAUAAAUAAAUAAAUAAAUAAAUAAAUAAAUAAAUAAAUAAAAUAAAUCAUGGUCUAUUAACAAUGAAUGGAAUUCUUUCUCACAUUUUUAGAUCUCUCGCUUACUCAAAAUGUAUAUUCUCUCUUAUGUUAUGCUAGAUGCACCCAAUUUAUCGGAAAAUCUCAAGAGAGUACAAGCUGAAAAUAGCUGUGUUAUUUUUUUCUCCUCUGCUUCUUUGAACUGGGUUUCUCAACUUGUUCUUCCCUGCUCCUGAAUACAAUCCUAGGUGGGUCCUGUAACUACCCAGUCAGCUCUCAUAAGGGCAUGGUUAUGGUUUGGAUGUGAGGGGCCCCCCAAAAGCUCAUGUGUGAGACAGUGCAGAAGAUUCAGAGGAGAAACGACCCAAUCAGUGAUUCAAUCCCCUGUAGGGAUUAACUGAAGUGGUAGGGUGUGGCUGGAGGAGGUGGGGACUGAGGCAUGGCUUUGGGUAUACAUUUGUACUUGGCGAGUGGACUCUCUCUGCUUGUUCAUCACCAUGAAAGCCACUUCUCUCUGCCACACUCUUCUGCCAUGUUGUUCCUGUCUCACUUUGAGCCCCGAGGAAUGGAGCCGGCUGUCUAUGAAACAAGUCCUAUUCCAUGCAAAAACUCCUCCAGUGCAUCUCUGUUCCAGAUGGCCUUGGCUCCCAGGUAGAAGUCUGAGGUGAGGUGGGUUUGGGUGGGAGAGAGCUUCACCCUGCUUUUUUCUUCCUCAUUCCCUCUAGGCUCACCAGCCAGCACUGGUCUCCCCUGGGGUGCAGGCUGGGGAAGGAAGAAGGCGGGGCCAUGAGAAUUCCUGCUGUACUUACAGGUGGAGUGCAAUGUCGGGGCCUCCAGGUAACAGAUCAAAUGCUGACUUUCAUUUUUGUGGGCUCCAUUGGCUCUAGGAAUCUCUCACCUCCCCUUAUCCUUGCUGUGGGACAGUGUGGUUCCAGGUGGUUGUCCAUGAGCAGCUGUUGGUCCUUAUCUCCUGGAGGCCUACUCUGAUCACCUGGCCUCUCUGAUUGCCCUCCUGGAAGGAGAUGCUCACAAGGUGACCCAGCCCAGCUCCCUUCUAUAGGGUUCUUCUCUGCUCCAUGGGAAACUCAGGCAUCCAGAGCCCACCAGAAUUUAAAAAUGCAAGUUAUUGCCACACAGCCACCUCCCCUUCCUCACAAGAGCGGAAGAGGAGCCCCUGCAUUCCUCCAACUCCAGGGCCUGAGACAAGUGCUGGGGGUGGUUCCCUUGUAGCCUUUUAAAUCAUCAACUUAUCUCAGAUGACUCAGGAAAAUGUUCUUUGUUUUAUACUAGUAAGCUUCUUUUGAAAUCAUUUCAAAAUUUAAAAAGAUGCAUAUUUAUACGAUACAUACAUAAAUACAUAUUUUGAAAAUGUAUUUAUGUACAAAUAUGGGGAUGUAUAUCAUACUAUGCAAACCCUAUAGCCUGACUUUUCCACUUAACAGUAUGUCACAAUAUCUCACCAUGUUAAUCUAUGCAAUCUGCAUAAUCAUUUUUAAAAGCAAAUAGAGUUCAUUGUAGGGCUAAGUCACAAUUUAAUCAACCAAGCUUCUCUUCUUGCAGUUUUAGAUCACUGCUAUUCUUUUAAUAGAAUAAUGCUGUAAAGAAAAAAAAUAGCAUUGGACAAAGACAGCAUUAUUGCACAUAAUGAAAUUCAGGUGUUUGGUUUCUGUGCAAAUUCACCAAACUAUAAGGAAGCCCUUUGCGUACUGUCAGUCACGGACUGUGGCUCUGUGAGAGCUACAGGGAUUGAUUUGCCCUGCCUCGAGUUCUUUCUGACUAGGUUCACUAACUUUGGAAGUGACAUCUGGACACCGUGAAUUUUCUCCCACUUACGAACCUAACACAGAAGUCCUUUAAACAGUGUCAGGGUGCAUUAGAUCAAGAACACAGUCACUGGGCCCAUGAUAGGAACGUGGCUGAUGCCCCUCGGUUCUAACAAGGAGACAGAAAUGACAAGAGACAUGGAGCCGGGACGUGCACUCAGCUUUCUUCUACUGUAUAAAUGAGAUUGAUCUAAUUGUUAUGUGCAUUUACAAAUAGGGGAUGUGUGUAACUAUAAUCCACUAAUUAAAAAUACAUAGUGUAUAAUAUUUUAGGCAAAUCUUCUCAGACACCCGUAUACAAUGACAGAGGUGCUGAGUCCCAAAGAGGCUGACGUGUAGCUUAGGUGGUGGCUUAUGGGUUCAAAGCCUUUUUACUUUUAUUAUUUAGUGUGUUUCUUACAAACUCCUGGAGAAACCAUCAGGGAAGAGCUGACUGUUUCCAUUUCACUGAUCACGGAGGCGAGAAUGCAGACUGAGUGAUGCUCAAAGGAGCUGAGACCCCGGCUGAGGUUUGUGGCAUCUCGUCUGCCCCACGUUCUGGAUGCCCGGGCCUCCCCCACCCCACACCCCCCAAGCUCUUCUUCCCAUCUGGCGCCAGGGUCUACCCAGCUUUUCAACAACUCUGUCCUCUUUUCCAGUCACUCCUGUCACAUGCAUCAGCAUGCCCUGCCCUUUCUACUUUCAAACCAUGUCCCGAAUCUGUUCUCUUCUCUCCUUCUCCACGGCGCACAUCCCUGUCCAAGCGAGUGUCUCCCGUCACCCGGAUGCCCCCCUGCCACUCUUCCAUCCCUGUGCUUUAUUCUCCACCCCGAAGCCAAGUGACAUCCUCAAAACACACACUGAACUCUGUUCCUUCACUGCUCUGCGCACUUGAAUUGCCCUUUGCAGGAGCCCAGAUGCUUCAUCGAAGUCGCCAACACACAAAGCCCCACGGGCCCCGCCUCUGUCCAUCUCUGACCUUCCCUCCCACCAACCCUCACCUGCUCAGAGUGUCACAGGGGUGCUCAGCUCUCAGUUCCUGGAACCUACAGCUUGCUGCUCUUCUAGGGCCUCCCGCAAACUCAUGCCCAGUCUUUCUGCCGACUGCUCCUCCUUGUCAUCCGGGUAUCCUCUUGAACACUGCCCUCCCUGAGCUCCCCACCUGAAGGAGACCUUGUCAUCCUCCUCCUGGUGGCCCUGUUCCUCUCAUCCUGGUAUCCCCUCUGUUUGUUGGUUCAAUGUUUAUCUCAGUUCACCGAAUACCAUCCCAUUGAUUUAGCAAGUGCUCAGUGUUUUAGCAAUAUGAACUUUUUAAAAUCUUCAUAAUGACCUUAUAACACUUUUGUUAAGAUGAGGAAACAGAGGAACAAAAACUUCCUCAAGGUCACCCUGUUCACAAGUGGCAAAACCAAGAUUUGAAUUCAAGCAGGUAGGCUUGAGAGCCCUUGCUUUGGAAUGGGUCAUUUCUUUCAGUUUCAAUGGUGAAGGUCCACCAUGUAGAGUAACCCCUGGUACAAAGCAGGCGCUCAGUAAAUGAUGAACAGCAGUGAUUUUGUGGUUUCUAGGGACACCCUGGCACUGGAUCUCCAUUGAGUUUAUCUUGAGUGUACCCCAUUAUCUAUUGGAUCCUGGGAUCCUUGGUAUAAUCCCAGGAAAUAGCCUGGUAACAUUUUUUUUUAGAUAUUUUAAUCUAACUUUGUCUUCAACUAGAGUGAUAUUUGAAAUUAAAGCUAUCAUCUGUCUGAAAUCUACACAGUCGUAAAGAAGAUUUACGUGGUGAUAUCUAAUCUCUGUAGUACUUUUCAUUUGCCUCUUCUUGUUAGCAAUAGUGCGAGGAAAGAAAUCAUUCCAAACUCCUGGAGAUUAGGUGAGACUGAAGCAGCAAUCGCUAGCUCAGCAGGCUAAUGUAAUAGCUUUUCAGUCACAGUUGGCUCUGGAGGAGAGCAACCACAUGCUAUGAAUUUGCUUGUGUCAGUAACUCACCAGGGAAUAUUUAUCUGUAUCAGGAAGACUGAUUUUGAAUUGAUAAAGAGUUGGAUCUUACUGAGAAUAUCCAGUUAUGGAGUUUUAAAAAUAAAAUGAGGUGAGAGAAGUGAGAUCUUAUGACCCAGCCAGGAGGAGUCAAAUCAAUCAAAUAAUGGUGAUCUUUUUUAAAAAUCAGACUGAGGUUAUAGCUCAGCAGUAGGGUGUGUGCCUAGCAUGAGUGAGACACUGGGUUCCAACCUCCCCACUGGGGAAAAAAAAAAGAAUUUCCCCUUAUUCCUCUCCAGCCCACCUUUCCCAGUUAGCCUAUGUUCUAGGUGCAUUCUCACCCUCAAAACUUAUCUAUCCCAUGAGUUUUACCUCAUGGAUUUAUUAAGUGAGUAGUUCUGGCAAUGGUCAUCUCAUGGUCUCACACCAAAGGCCCUGUCCCCUUGAUCCAAGUCCAUCCACUCCAUCCUCAUUUCUCUAUUUCCAUCACUGUCUGGAUUAUAAGCAACAUGGAGCUAGCCUAGUGCAUGGCUCCAGGCUUUGGUGGCCAACUGCCUUGAUUCAAAUCUUUGCUCUGCCACUUAGUUGAAGUGUAAACCUGGGCAAACGUACUUCAUCUUUCUGCAUGAUUGUUUCUUCAUCUAUAAAAUGAGGAUAAUUUAACACCUGUCUCAUAGGGUCUCUAGGCAGGUUUAUUAUAUCUGCAUGUAAAACACUCAAAUGCUUCUCAGCUCGAUAUAAGUAUUAUAUAUGUUUGCAUCAUUAUUACUCAAAACAGUAACAGUUUUUAAACUUCUCACAGUUUGCCCUCAGUAAAUGUGUGUUGGAUCCAAUCUCAUUGUUCUUCUCUUAGCAGUCUCAGAGGUUAAACUAUUAUUCAUCUCAACUAAUACUAUUCCACAAACUAUUUAACAGGCAUUUAAAAGAAAUUUGUACUACAAUAAUAAUUUUUGCAAUCAUAAAAUUUAAGCAUGUUGUAGAAUGAAUGAUUUUUUUCCCCCUAAUGAGGGAGAUGAAAUCAGUAGCCACCUUUUAAUAUAAUGGCUCAGUUUGAGGUGUAGAUCAGUGUAUACACCCAGAUGUGACCCAUUACCCCAAAGGCUAUCAGGAAUGGUGGUUCUCUUAACUGGUGCAGGAUGCUCAGAUCCAAGAUGAAUCCAGAAACAAUGAAUUGACUAAUCUCAUGCCAGCCCCACUCAGGUGAGUCUACAGGUACCAUCUGAUCUGCUGGUACAGGUAUGAGACUGUAAAAUUAAAUGUUUAUUGUUCAUGCUCUGAGAUCUUAGAAUUGUUUUGCAAAAUGAACACAGUAAAAACUUUCAAAUAUAGAAAUUGGUACUAAAAGUGUGACUUUGUCUAAAGUAUGUGGCAGAGGCGCUACGAUCUGAGAACCUGUGGCAAGGAAACAAUGUCAGACGUUGGAAAAAUGGUGAUCCAUGUUAGGUUGUAACAAAACAUUUAAUAAAAAUGUCACCUGUCAAAAUCUGGAGGGGAAAAAUAUAGCUACAUGAAGACACGUAGAAAUAUUUUGAGGUGGAAUUAAGUAGAGGAGCUCGUUGUCACAGAUAUGUAUAAUUAAAUACUAGAAGAAAAAGAAAAUGAGUCCAGGAGAGAACUAGUUGUUUUGAAACAGACAUAGGAAAUACAGAGAGGCCAGAAAUGUUGGAAGUUUUCAGCGCUAAAAAAUUAAACUGUCUUAUUCCUAACUGGCAAAAGAGAAAAUUGAGAAGUUAUUUGAGUUUAAAAGCCUACUAAGGCUCAACCUCCAGGAAGAGACCAAAUCAAACUUUUACAAGAUCAUCUGGAGGGUGUAAGAGGUACUAUUAGAUUACUUAUCCCUGUGGGAAACAAUUGGAAACUCAGAAGCCUGUUCAAAAUAACUGUUCAUAAGUAUAUUGCAUGUCUCAAAACAAGUUGUGGGUAUAUCUUUUAUUACAUAGAGUUGUCUAGAAUCAAAUACAAAAAGCCAACGUCUUUGAGUGAGCUGUCUUGCCCAAAGCAUCCGAGUCUUGUUUAUAAAACGUGACUGUUUAAGAUAUAAAAAAGAUCGCUGGGUCUUCAACUUUCUAAAGGCAGGAAGCAAGGUGAGAAAGCUGCCUAAUGGCAAUAAGGUAGGGUGACCAGUGUAUCCCAUUUGGCCUGGGACUUUGCUUAUCUUGGUACUGAAAGGUGUGCAAUCCAGAAAAGCUUAGACCCCGGCUUAUGAUGGCUGCUACCUUCAAGGAUGGCAUAUCUACCCUGCUCUCUAAGCGCAGCCAAGAAAGAUAAUGAAGAGGGAGGGGUUGCUGAGAGCAGUCAAGAGCUGUGGUGCAAACAGUGGCUAUGAGACUUAUUCCCAGGCAGAAGAAUCAAUGCUUAAUUUAGGAGCACUUACUGUCCCUUAGGAUAGGGAGACCUAAAGGGAUGUCAGAGCUGCCAUGGGCCCUUAACUGCUCAUGUCUUUUUUUUUUCUUUGAUAAUCCACCUUGUUUAAGAGAAAUGGUUUCAUUUGCUCCUCACUGAUGUGCCUGAAAAAUUUUAGGUUCCAUCUGGAAUUUCCCCAAAGAUCUCUUAGGAACUAAAUUACAGGUUGAGAUAAUGUAUAAAAAUGGGGCUUGUUUUAAUGGCAUGCAGUUAGCAAAGGUCUCAGUUUUCUCUAAGCAACAGUAGGGAAAUUUUUCAGGGGUGUAUCAAAAUAACUCCCUGGACCUGAAGGCCUGAUCCAUCCAGGUUCCCUUCAUAUUCAUGACUCACGCAAAAUUGCCUUAGAUUAGGCUAUUUUGGAGCAAUUUGACAGAAGUCAUCUCUGUCUGUGUUUGCACCAGCCAGCUAAAAGGUGUCUGAGUUGCUUCAUGUCCAGUCUGAUGCAUGAAGUCUGAUUUAAUCUGAUAUGGUUUGAGGGUAAGUAGCUGACACUGACUUCCUAAGAUGCUGAGAACAACGGAAACAGAAAAAAUAUUCAGGAUACAUUCUUGAAAAGGUGAUUCUGUUCCUAAUAUGUACUUGAGAGGUGUACAGCCUUUUCAGUGAGAUCUUAAAAGAAUAAUGUUAUUACCUAUCUUGGUAAUAGUGAAGAAGGUAGAAACAGAGAAGCUAAAGGGUCCUUUUGAUGGUCACCUUGCUCAUAUGGGUAAAACCAAUCAAGAUGUAAAAGAGAAAAUGCUACGUGGUCAUUAGACUUCAUUUUAUUUUCUUCCUCCUGGGAACAACAAUAACAAAAAAUGCAUGCUCCCCAGUUUCUUGUAUAGUUAGAUUUGGGGCAUGUUGUGGGGUUUAGACAAUAGCCAUAACCCCUGCAUCAUCUUGCAUCAUCUGCACACUUUGUCCCCCUCUUCCACAGCACCUUCCCUGGCAGCUACCCACCAAGUUUAAAUGACCACACCACAAGAUGGAAGGAGCUUGGAUCCCUGAGUCAUUGUCUGGAAGAGAGCCCCCAAAGAAGAGCUUCCUCACCUUCAAUGGACUGUGAUGCAAAAGGAAUAGAAACCUGUCGGAUGAUUAAGCUGCGAAGGUUUGGAGAUUGUUACUGCAACCAGCAUUUAGUGCAUGAGUAAUAAUAAGGGAAUGAAAACGGAGACUCCACCAUGCAACUUUUCUCUUACCUCAGAUCCAGCAACUAGUUUAAAAUGACCUCCCUUUGCUGGCAUCAGGAUUUCCUGUACACGCUUUAUGGAUGGGCCUGGCAGCUCUUGGCUUGAAGUUGGAUAAGGAAGAGGUUGAAAGUCACAUCACACAAUGCUGUUGUUCAGAGGGGGUACCAAAAUUGAGCAGCAGGGGUCAAGAAUAUGAAAACAUUUACAUACAAGAAUUUUUAAAAGACAAGAACAACAACAAUAAGGAAGUGUCCCGGACCUUUCACUCUUCUAGGUUUCAAGAUAGCUAUUAAUAGUCCCCCCUUAUCCAUGGUUUUGCUUUCCACAGUUCAAUAACCUGUGAUCAAUCACAGGUAAGAAGAAGAGGGGCAAGUACAAUAAGAUAUAUAUUUUGAUGGAGAAAGAGAGAAGAGAGACUAUAUUCACAUAACUUUUAUUAUAUUUACUAUUAUAUUUGUUCUAUUUUAUUAUUAAUUAUUGUUGAUCUCCAUGCCUAGUUUAUAAAUUUAACUCCAUCAUAGGCAUGGAUGUAUAAGAAAAAACUUUCACACACACACACAUGCACAUACAUACACACACAUACAUAUAAGGUUUAGCACUAGCUAUGGUUUCAGGGGUCUUGGAGGGUAUCCUCUGCAGACAGAUUUUUAGGGAGUCUGCUGUAUUUGCCUCCUGUUCCCAGGAGAUAUCCCUCCCCAUUCCUGUUACUGUUCUUUGCUAUUUCCCAGAGGACCCAUUCACAAAGUAUGAUGCUUUCUUGGAAAUAAAUAUUAAACAUGGGAAAGUUAA